CCUACGGGUGGCAGCAGUGGGGAAUGUUGCGCAAUGAGCGCAAGAGUGACGCAGCGACGCCGCGUGAAUGACGAAGGCCUUCGGGUCGUAAAGUUCUUUCGACAGGGAAGAAGCAAGUGACGGUACCUGACGAAUAAGCCACGGCUAACUACGUGCCAGCAGCCGCGGUAAUACGUAGGUGGCAAGCGUUAUCCGGAUUUAUUGGGUGUAAAGGGCGUGUAGGCGGGAAUGCAAGUCAGAUGUGAAAACUAUGGGCUCAACCCAUAGCCUGCAUUUGAAACUGUAUUUCUUGAGUGCUGGAGAGGCAAUCGGAAUUCCGUGUGUAGCGGUGAAAUGCGUAGAUAUACGGAGGAACACCAGUGGCGAAGGCGGAUUGCUGGACAGUAACUGACGCUGAGGCGCGAAAGCGUGGGGAGCAAACAGGAUUAGAUACCCCAGUAGUC
This 443-nucleotide ribosomal RNA is filed under the name uncultured bacterium. RNAcentral describes it as "partial 16S ribosomal RNA". It matches the Rfam family "Bacterial small subunit ribosomal RNA", at positions 338 to 795 of the family's 1533-position model. The record is from RNAcentral.